This 73-nucleotide transfer RNA is filed under the name Desulfobaculum bizertense DSM 18034. Its description in RNAcentral is "Desulfovibrio bizertensis DSM 18034 tRNA". It matches the Rfam family "tRNA". From Rfam's summary of the family: Transfer RNA (tRNA) molecules are approximately 80 nucleotides in length. Their secondary structure includes four short double-helical elements and three loops (D, anti-codon, and T loops). Further hydrogen bonds mediate the characteristic L-shaped molecular structure. tRNAs have two regions of fundamental functional importance: the anti-codon, which is responsible for specific mRNA codon recognition, and the 3' end, to which the tRNAs corresponding amino acid is attached (by aminoacyl-tRNA synthetases). tRNAs cope with the degeneracy of the genetic code in two manners: having more than one tRNA (with a specific anti-codon) for a particular amino acid; and 'wobble' base-pairing, i.e. permitting non-standard base-pairing at the 3rd anti-codon position. Lineage: Bacteria; Pseudomonadati; Thermodesulfobacteriota; Desulfovibrionia; Desulfovibrionales; Desulfovibrionaceae. The record is from Rfam by way of RNAcentral.
GCGGGUGUAACUCAGUUGGUAGAGUACAAGCUUCCCAAGCUUGGAGUCGCGAGUUCGAAUCUCGUCACCCGCU